AUUCCAGCUCCAAUAGCGUAUAUUAAAGUUGUUGCGGUUAAAAAGCUCGUAGUUGGAUUUCUGCCGAGGAUGACCGGUCCGCCCUGUGGGUGUGCAUCUGGCUCAGCCUUGGCAUCUUCCUGAAGAACGUAGCUGCACUUGACUGUGUGGUGCGGUAUUUAGGACAUUUACUUUGAGGAAAUUAGAGUGUUUCAAGCAAGCGCACGCUUUGAAUACAUUAGCAUGGAAUAAUAAGAUAGGACCUCGGUUCUAUUUUGUUGGUUUCUAGAGCUGAGGUAAUGAUUGAUAGGGAUAGUUGGGGGUGCUAGUAUUGGCCGGCCAGAGGUGAAAUUCUUGGAUUCGGUCAAGACUAACUUAUGCGAAAGCAUUCACCAAGGAUGUCUUCAUCA
This 389-nucleotide ribosomal RNA is filed under the name Biecheleria sp. RNAcentral describes it as "partial small subunit ribosomal RNA". It matches the Rfam family "Eukaryotic small subunit ribosomal RNA", at positions 582 to 975 of the family's 1831-position model. Lineage: Eukaryota; Dinophyceae; Suessiales; Biecheleriaceae. The record is from RNAcentral.